This 460-nucleotide ribosomal RNA is filed under the name uncultured bacterium. RNAcentral describes it as "SSU rRNA". It matches the Rfam family "Bacterial small subunit ribosomal RNA", at positions 26 to 518 of the family's 1533-position model. The record is from RNAcentral.
AGAAUCAACGCUGGCGGCGUGCCUAACACAUGCAAGUCGCACGAGAAAGGGGUAGCAAUACCUGAGUACAGUGGCGCACGGGUGAGUAACACGUGAAUAAUCUACCUCCGAGUGGGGAAUAACUGAGAGAAAUCUUAGCUAAUACCGCAUAAUACCCACGGGUCAAAGCAGCAAUGCGCUUGGAGAGGAGUUCGCGGCAGAUUAGUUAGUUGGCGGGUAAUGGCCCACCAAGACGAUGAUCUGUAUCCGGCCUGAGAGGGCGCACGGACACACUGGAACUGAAACACGGUCCAGACUCCUACGGGAGGCAGCAGUGGGGAAUUUUGCGCAAUGGGGGAAACCCUGACGCAGCAACGCCGCGUGGAGGAUGAAGCCCCUUGGGGUGUAAACUCCUUUCGAUCGGGAAGAUAAUGACGGUACCGAUAUAAGAAGCCCCGGCUAACUUCGUGCCAGCAGCCGC